AAACCAUGAUUUGGAGACCGCUGCAAACACUCCUUGAAUCUCUCCCAAGCCUCAUAUAAUAGCUCCCCCAGAAGCUGUUUGAACACAUAGAUUUUACUAUGGAUUUC
This is a small nucleolar RNA of Lycium barbarum (goji berry), 107 nucleotides long. NCBI's taxonomy places the organism in Eukaryota, Viridiplantae, Streptophyta, Magnoliopsida, Solanales, Solanaceae. The record is from RefSeq and is a predicted model, not a curated record.